UCCCUGGUGGCUCAAACAGUAAAGAAUCUGCCUGCAAUGCAGAAGACCCAGGUUCGAUCCCUAGGCUGGGAA
Molecule: non-coding RNA, 72 nt
Organism: Bos taurus (domestic cattle)
Lineage: Eukaryota; Metazoa; Chordata; Mammalia; Artiodactyla; Bovidae
Source: Rfam